Non-coding RNA from Vicia faba (fava bean), 234 nucleotides. The record is from the annotation of a GenBank genome assembly. NCBI's taxonomy places the organism in Eukaryota, Viridiplantae, Streptophyta, Magnoliopsida, Fabales, Fabaceae.
AUGGCAGAAAGAAAAGGGAAGAGCAUCGCACAGAAAAUAACGCGCACAAUCUCACCAGACGAGACGAGACACCUUUUCAUUUCUCAUUCGCCAUUUUUCCCGUACAAUCGCAAUUCCUCUCCAUUCCGAAUCCCUACAAUCCCUUUCUUCUCUCACGUUACAACUCCGAUUUCACGGUUUGCGAAAUGCCCCAAGCAUAGAACACGAGGGGUUUUGAAAUUUGAAUAUGCAUAG